UAACGGCCUACCAAGGCUCCGAUCGGUAGCUGGUCUGAGAGGAUGAUCAGCCACACUGGGACUAAGACACGGCCAAGACUCCUACGGGAGGCAGCAGUGGGGAAUAUUGGACAAUGGGCGAAAGCCUGAUCCAGCAAUGCCUCGUGUGUGAAGAAGGUCUUCGGAUUGUAAAGCACUUUCGACGGCGACGAUGAUGACGGUACCCGUAUAAGAAGCCCCGGCUAACUUCGUGCCAGCAGCCGCGGUAAUACGAAGGGGGCUAGCGUUGCUCGUAUUGACUGGGCGUAAAGGGCGCGUAGGCGGCUUGUACAGUAAGACGUGAAAUUCCUGGGCUCAACCUGGCGGCUGCGUUUGAUACGUGCGGGCUUGAGUUCGGAAGAGGGUCGUGGUAUUCCCAGUGUAGAGGUGAAAUU
This 413-nucleotide ribosomal RNA is filed under the name uncultured Acetobacteraceae bacterium. RNAcentral describes it as "bacterial SSU rRNA". It matches the Rfam family "Bacterial small subunit ribosomal RNA", at positions 258 to 688 of the family's 1533-position model. The record is from RNAcentral. Lineage: Bacteria; Pseudomonadati; Pseudomonadota; Alphaproteobacteria; Acetobacterales; Acetobacteraceae.